GGGGAGGAGCCCAGAGCCUGAAUCAGCAUGUGUGUUAGUGGAAGCGUCUGGAAAGGUGCGCGAUACAGGGUGACAGCCCCGUACACAAAAGCGCAUGUGCUGUGAGCUCGAUGAGUAGGGCGGGACACGUGGUAUCCUGUCUGAAUAUGGGGGGACCAUCCUCCAAGGCUAAAUACUCCUGACUGACCGAUAGUGAACCAGUACCGUGAGGGAAAGGCGAAAAGAACCCCGGCGAGGGGAGUGAAAAAGAACCUGAAACCGUGUACGUACAAGCAGUGGGAGCACAGGUUUACCUGUGUGACUGCGUACCUUUUGUAUAAUGGGUCAGCGACUUAUAUUCUGUAGCAAGGUUAACCGAAUAGGGGAGCCGGAGGGAAACCGAGUCUUAAUUGGGCGUUAAGUUGCAGGGUAUAGACCCGAAACCCGGUGAUCUAGCCAUGGGCAGGUUGAAGGUUGGGUAACACUAACUGGAGGACCGAACCGACUAAUGUUGAAAAAUUAGCGGAUGACCUGUGGCUGGGGGUGAAAGGCCAAUCAAACCGGGAGAUAGCUGGUUCUCCCCGAAAGCUAUUUAGGUAGCGCCUCGUGAAUUCAUCUCCGGGGGUAGAGCACUGUUUCGGCUAGGGGGCCAUCCCGGCUUACCAACCCGAUGCAAACUGCGAAUACCGGAGAAUGUUAUCACGGGAGACACACGGCGGGUGCUAACGUCCGUCGUGAAGAGGGAAACAACCCAGACCGCCAGCUAAGGUCCCAAAGUCAUGGUUAAGUGGGAAACGAUGUGGGAAGGCCCAGACAGCCAGGAUGUUGGCUUAGAAGCAGCCAUCAUUUAAAGAAAGCGUAAUAGCUCACUGGUCGAGUCGGCCUGCGCGGAAGAUGUAACGGGGCUAAACCAUGCACCGAAGCUGCGGCAGCGAACGUAUCACCCAAGACAACUUUACGGAGUUGACGAUUGACGGAGCGAAGCGACGUCAAAGCGUUCAUUAAAGUCGAGUUGGCUUAGGGAUACGUUCGUUGGGUAGGGGAGCGUUCUGUAAGCCUGUGAAGGUGUGUCGUGAGGCAUGCUGGAGGUAUCAGAAGUGCGAAUGCUGACAUAAGUAACGAUAAAGCGGGUGAAAAGCCCGCUCGCCGGAAGACCAAGGGUUCCUGUCCAACGUUAAUCGGGGCAGGGUGAGUCGACCCCUAAGGCGAGGCCGAAAGGCGUAGUCGAUGGGAAACGGGUUAAUAUUCCCGUACUUGGUGUUACUGCGAAGGGGGGACGGAGAAGGCUAUGUUGGCCGGGCGACGGUUGUCCCGGUUUAAGCGUGUAGGUGUGUGUUCCAGGUAAAUCCGGUUCACUUUAACACUGAGGCGUGACGACGAGGCACUACGGUGCUGAAGCAACAAAUGCCCUGCUUCCAGGAAAAGCCUCUAAGCAUCAGGUAACACGAAAUCGUACCCCAAACCGACACAGGUGGUCAGGUAGAGAAUACCAAGGCGCUUGAGAGAACUCGGGUGAAGGAACUAGGCAAAAUGGUGCCGUAACUUCGGGAGAAGGCACGCUGACACGUAGGUGAAGUGAUUUACUCAUGGAGCUGAAGUCAGUCGAAGAUACCAGCUGGCUGCAACUGUUUAUUAAAAACACAGCACUGUGCAAACACGAAAGUGGACGUAUACGGUGUGACGCCUGCCCGGUGCCGGAAGGUUAAUUGAUGGGGUCAGCGCAAGCGAAGCUCCUGAUCGAAGCCCCGGUAAACGGCGGCCGUAACUAUAACGGUCCUAAGGUAGCGAAAUUCCUUGUCGGGUAAGUUCCGACCUGCACGAAUGGCGUAAUGAUGGCCAGGCUGUCUCCACCCGAGACUCAGUGAAAUUGAACUCGCUGUGAAGAUGCAGUGUACCCGCGGCAAGACGGAAAGACCCCGUGAACCUUUACUAUAGCUUGACACUGAACAUUGAGCCUUGAUGUGUAGGAUAGGUGGGAGGCUUUGAAGUGUGGACGCCAGUCUGCAUGGAGCCGACCUUGAAAUACCACCCUUUAAUGUUUGAUGUUCUAACGUGGACCCGUAAUCCGGGUUGCGGACAGUGUCUGGUGGGUAGUUUGACUGGGGCGGUCUCCUCCUAAAGAGUAACGGAGGAGCACGAAGGUUGGCUAAUCCUGGUCGGACAUCAGGAGGUUAGUGCAAUGGCAUAAGCCAGCUUGACUGCGAGCGUGACGGCGCGAGCAGGUGCGAAAGCAGGUCAUAGUGAUCCGGUGGUUCUGAAUGGAAGGGCCAUCGCUCAACGGAUAAAAGGUACUCCGGGGAUAACAGGCUGAUACCGCCCAAGAGUUCAUAUCGACGGCGGUGUUUGGCACCUCGAUGUCGGCUCAUCACAUCCUGGGGCUGAAGUAGGUCCCAAGGGUAUGGCUGUUCGCCAUUUAAAGUGGUACGCGAGCUGGGUUUAGAACGUCGUGAGACAGUUCGGUCCCUAUCUGCCGUGGGCGCUGGAGAACUGAGGGGGGCUGCUCCUAGUACGAGAGGACCGGAGUGGACGCAUCACUGGUGUUCGGGUUGUCAUGCCAAUGGCACUGCCCGGUAGCUAAAUGCGGAAGAGAUAAGUGCUGAAAGCAUCUAAGCACGAAACUUGCCCCGAGAUGAGUUCUCCCUGAGACUUAGAGUCUCCUGAAGGAACGUUGAAGACGACGACGUUGAUAGGCCGGGUGUGUAAGCGCAGCGAUGCGUUGAGCUAACCGGUACUAAUGAACCGUGAGGCUUAACCUUACAACGCCGAAG
Molecule: ribosomal RNA, 2747 nt
Filed under: Salmonella enterica subsp. enterica
Lineage: Bacteria; Pseudomonadati; Pseudomonadota; Gammaproteobacteria; Enterobacterales; Enterobacteriaceae
Description: partial 23S ribosomal RNA
Rfam family: Bacterial large subunit ribosomal RNA
Source: RNAcentral